Carcharodon carcharias (great white shark) is the source of this 827-nucleotide long non-coding RNA. RefSeq lists it as uncharacterized. NCBI's taxonomy places the organism in Eukaryota, Metazoa, Chordata, Chondrichthyes, Lamniformes, Lamnidae. The transcript has 4 exons. The record is from RefSeq and is a predicted model, not a curated record.
CCGGCUGCCAGUAUUGCAGUGAUGGGAAUCGGGUGAUGGUCAAGAGGCCGGAAUUGGAGUAACACAGAGAUCUGGGACGUUGGUUGGGAGAGAAGCAGGACGUUACAGAGAUGGUCCAGAUAAGCCAGUUAUCGUGCUCCUGAAGGAUUUACAGGAGGGGACUCCUGCACAUAUCAUCUGUAAAUGCCUCUACAUCUGCCCCGAUAACCACCCCAAUCUAACCUGGAGUGAAUUGCUGACUUCCUCGGUCAGCACCAUCACAGAGAAUGGUGGUGAUGUUUCCGCUCUACUGACCUUUAACCCUUCGUUCAAGCAUCAUGGACGAACUCUCGCUGUACGUGUGACUACCCUCAAACCAGCCAUCGAGUGGUCAACUCAGUUACUCUGAGUGUAAAGUAUUCUCCUCACAACACGUCUGUCAGGAUGACACUGGAAAAAGGAAAGGUGAUUUCUCUAAGUUGUUCCAGUGACGGGAAUCCAGCAGUCCACAAUUUCAACUGGUUUAAGAUCUCCCAAGGAAAAGUGACGAAUCUGGCGCUCGCUGGUCAAACUAUUACAGUUCCUUCUGGAUUCGAUGAGGAAAUCUCCUACUACUGUGAAGCAACAAGUAUCCUGGGCAGUUCCCAGUCUCUGCCCAUUAGAAUUCCCACUGAAUACACACCACAGAAUCUCUCAAUUACUUCUCUUGAUAUGAUUAAUGCUUCAUCGACCAAUAUAAUUGAGGGGAAUUCUGCAGUGAUAAUCUGCUCUGUCGAGAGCUUCCCAGCUUCUAACCUGACGUGGUGACAUCUUAAUGUCCCAAAGAACAGAACAAGUUCCAACAAUGA